Non-coding RNA from Schistosoma haematobium, 46 nucleotides. The record is from Rfam. NCBI's taxonomy places the organism in Eukaryota, Metazoa, Platyhelminthes, Trematoda, Strigeidida, Schistosomatidae.
AUCCAACUGAUGAGUACCAGAAUGGAACGAAACAUGUGUCCUAGAU